UUGUUGCUUUACAAGACCGAUUUCGAGACAAAAACAAUAAGCAGACGACACAAAAGCUCUGAGCCCGAGUGUUUGUUCUAAGGCUGUAACCUGUGAGAGUGAUGAUAUUUUCUGCUCUUCUUUCUGUGAGAAUCAAAUUGCAUUUUCUUGUUUUAUUUUCAGAUCCGAGCCUCAAUUUUACUCUUAAUUGCUUGUAUUUUAUAGUUAUUGUUAAAAUGGUGUCUUUGGUAUAUGAUGAAGUAUAUUUUGCAUGAUGGAAUCAGUAAUUGGUUACUAAUUUAGCCCUAUAAGAAAAGAAAGUUGGGAACUUAUUUAGGUCUGAACCAAGAAUUUUGCACACAACUGUUUGUGCUACUGAUUUUCUGUAGCUACUAAACUAACAGGCUUGCUCAUGAGGUACUCAUAAACAGAAGCUAUGAACUAUAGAUUCACUGUGUGUGUAUGUGUGUAUGGAGACUUUUUAGCUGAAAGGCCUGUGUAAGCUUUGAUUUAAGAAACUGGGGUGUGUGUGUGUUGGGGGGGGGGCCCUUUUUAGGUGAAAGGCUUGUGGAAGUCUUGAUUUAAGAAACUAGUGUAUGUGUGGAGACUUUUUAGCUGAAAGGCUUGUGUAAGUCUUGAUUUAUCAAACUAGUGUGUGUAUGUGUGUAGAAUUUUUAGCUGAAAGUCUUGAAUUGUGAAACUAGUGUGUGUGUUUUCUUUUUUCCUGAUUUUGAGUAAUUUUGCAAAAGAAGCAGUGUGAUAUUGAGGCUCUCAUGAUGAUUUUUCAGAGAAAAUAGAAGUGGGUAUUACAGUUACAGGCUUGUAUGUUGGCAGAGAAACCUAAAUCUGUGUAUAAAAAAGGCAUAAAAAUUGGAUCCUUUUAUAUACCCGCACUCUUUUUGUUGCUGUUUUAUCUUAUGUUUCUCUUCUUGCUGCUAUUGUGCUGUUUUAUGAACCAAACAGCUAGAAAUCAUUGUAAAAAAUAGCAUAAAAUGUGGUAUAUGAAUUAAAAAUGGAUCUCUUCUUAUACCCAUAACCCAUGUUUUUGUUGCUGCUGCAUCUUCUGUUUCUCUUCUUGUUGCUAUUGUGCUUUUUUUUGAACCAAAUAGCAAGAAAUCACUGUGAAGAUAAAGCUUCUCUUGAGCAAUUUGAGUUAGGCAUUGAGAUGAUAAGAGCUGUAUCUUGGCGGGGUAACCCGAAGAGGUUGCAGCCAUGGCAGUUUCUGAUAAAACCCAAUGCCUAAAAAAGGACAGCCUGGUGCACUAAGCUCCCGUUAUGCGCGAGCCGUGUCCGUGGAAGGGCCGACCACAAGGGUCAGUCGUACGCAGCCUUACCCUGCACUUCUACUUCUGUCGGAGGUUGUUUCCACUGCUUGAACCGGUGACCUCUUGGUCUCAUGACAUCAACUUUACCAGUUACGCAAGGCUUCCCUUCAAAAAAAACCAAUGCCUAAUUAAAUUGAAAUCUGAGCCUCAUUAUGUACACCAUGCGACAUUACAUAUAUUACCCCCAAACUUGUCCCGAAAAGUCAUUUACAGCCUUACCCUGCACUUCUACUUCUGUCGGAGGUUGUUUCCACUGCUUGAACCGGUGACCUCUUGGUCUCAUGACAUCAACUUUACCAGUUACGCAAGGCUUCCCUUCAAAAAAAACCAAUGCCUAAUUAAAUUGAAAUCUGAGCCUCAUUAUGUACACCAUGCGACAUAGGGAAAUUACAUAUAUUACCCCCAAACUUGUCCCGAAAAGUCAUUUACAUACUUAACUUUUCGAGAAAAAGCUCAAAAUUGUCCCUUAUCGAGACGGUGAUGAUCUUUCAAUCUAUCAUCCUUGGCUAGUCAUUGAGCAUAGCGAGUACCAACCCAUAUCUUGGCAGGGCAAUGACACGGAUGCUUGUAAUUUUAUUGCAUGCAACUCGGGUAUUUGCAGCCAUGGCGGGGCUGGACUUCCUUUGGCUAAGGAUAAAUACAGAUCUGAGCCUCAGUUCUCAUCCCAUAAUCUUACUUUUGGUGUAAUUGGCAUGGAGGAAACUCUUUCGGUCAACCAAGACUGCUGGAUUCAGAGAGUUUUGGAAAGUUCUUUGAGUGGUUUCCCCUCUUUGGCACUCUCAGCAGUCAAUGAUCGCUCAAAGUUUCCCCUUUUCACAUGACUCUUUAGCAAUUAAGUUCAAAUGAGGCAGUGA
This 2158-nucleotide long non-coding RNA is filed under the name Nicotiana benthamiana. RNAcentral describes it as "long non-coding RNA (NBEN_LNC007088)". The record is from RNAcentral. Lineage: Eukaryota; Viridiplantae; Streptophyta; Magnoliopsida; Solanales; Solanaceae.